Non-coding RNA from Cinara cedri, 258 nucleotides. The record is from the annotation of a GenBank genome assembly. NCBI's taxonomy places the organism in Eukaryota, Metazoa, Arthropoda, Insecta, Hemiptera, Aphididae.
UUGGAAAUUUUACCGCGUCUAGAUAAGUUCAAUAUAAGUAUUUUUACCAAGUUUCAAGCCUCUACGUGUAUUUAUUACCGAAUUACAGCAAAACAAACUCCCAAAAAUGAAAAUUCUUAAAAGCUCAAAAGUUUUUGCGAUGACACCGUAAUAAAUUAAAUUAAAAAGGUGUCUUGUGAUUUUUCGAUUAAGUCAUUUCUUCUGGUAAAAAACGUCGUCCGUGUUUUUAUAAAAUAAUGAAACCGUGAAAUUGUACGU